Molecule: long non-coding RNA, 242 nt
Filed under: Jatropha curcas
Lineage: Eukaryota; Viridiplantae; Streptophyta; Magnoliopsida; Malpighiales; Euphorbiaceae
Description: long non-coding RNA (JCUR_LNC000744)
Source: RNAcentral
AGCAGCAGCAGCAACCAUCUUCCAGCCAUCGCCGAACUAACAGCAGGGACCUUGAAUCCCAGUUUGCAAACCUCUCCUUGAAACAAAAGGAUGCCAUUCCUUGUCGUGAUCCUGUGACAGGUCCACUCCGCACUUAGAUAAAUAAAUUAACCAGAGAUUUGUUGUGCCACCAUUUUGCUUAGUUGGGCUACCACAUUAACCAUCAUUAUUUUCUCCUCGAGUGGGGUAAAGCCGAGUUCCUC